Molecule: long non-coding RNA, 134 nt
Organism: Diprion similis
Lineage: Eukaryota; Metazoa; Arthropoda; Insecta; Hymenoptera; Diprionidae
Exons: 3
Source: RefSeq, a predicted model, not a curated record
UAUAAUAUAAUCGGUGUCAAAAAAAAAAACAAACAAACAAAUACAAAAUUCAGAAUAUUGCGUAACAGGAUUGCAAAACGAAUGUGAUCUCACAAGCACGUUGGGCACGUGAGAGCAACAUCACAAACAAUCUA